UACGAAGGUCCCGAGCGUUGUUCGGAAUCACUGGGCGUAAAGGGAGCGUAGGCGGCAUGGUAAGUCAGAUGUGAAAUCCCGGGGCUCAACCCCGGAACUGCAUCCGAUACUGCCUUGCUAGAGUAAUGGAGAGGUAACUGGAAUUCUCGGUGUAGCAGUGAAAUGCGUGGAUAUCGAGAGGAAGACCAACGGCGAAGGCAGGUUACUGGACAUUUACUGACGCUGAGGCUCGAAGGCCAGGGGAGCGAAAGGG
RNAcentral lists this unclassified non-coding RNA (253 nucleotides) under uncultured Verrucomicrobiota bacterium. RNAcentral's name for it is "uncultured Verrucomicrobia bacterium contains 16S-23S intergenic spacer region". It matches the Rfam family "Bacterial small subunit ribosomal RNA", at positions 524 to 776 of the family's 1533-position model. The record is from RNAcentral. Lineage: Bacteria; Pseudomonadati; Verrucomicrobiota.